RNAcentral lists this ribosomal RNA (427 nucleotides) under uncultured bacterium. RNAcentral describes it as "bacterial SSU rRNA". It matches the Rfam family "Bacterial small subunit ribosomal RNA", at positions 28 to 421 of the family's 1533-position model. The record is from RNAcentral.
GACGAACGCUGGCAGCGUGCCUAAUACAUGCAAGUCGAACGCACUCUCGUUUAGAUUGAAGGAGCUUGCUCCUGAUUGAUAAACAUUUGAGUGAGUGGCGGACGGGUGAGUAACGCGUGGGUAACCUGCCCUAAAGUGGGGGAUAACAUUUGGAAACAGAUGUUAAUACCGCAUAAAACCUAACACCGCAUGGUGUAGGGUUGAAAGAUGGUUUCGGCUAUCACUUUAGGAUGGACCCGCGGUGCAUUAGUUAGUUGGUGAGGUAAAGGCUCACCAAGACCGUGAUGCAUAGCCGACCUGAGAGGGUAAUCGGCCACACUGGGACUGAGACACGGCCCAGACUCCUACGGGAGGCAGCAGUAGGGAAUCUUCCACAAUGGACGAAAGUCUGAUGGAGCAACGCCGCGUGAGUGAAGAAGGUUUUCGG